CUGUUAAGAACAGAUUUGGUUUAAAAUAUCUUAGUUUUGCUACUUACAUAUAUUUUUUAAACCAUGAUCGUGUGAACACGUUGUUAAGACCUCCCUCUUGCAUGGCCAUGGAAGGGGCCUGGAUACCACUGGGAUCAUACAGUGUGCGCUUUUCUGGAACUUCCCAGAUCUCCAUGUGCCCUCACCUUCAGUGACAGUCUGAGAAGAAGCCAGGUGGGGUUGCUCCCUACAUGGUCGGGGCUGCUGCCAAAUGCCGCUCAUCUCACCGUCACCUGCUGCCUCUCUGCCUGCCCCGUGGCCCAUGGUUCUCUGACAUCUCUCUCUCACUGAGGACUGUCCACUGAGAGGUCUGGAAACAAUGACACUCCUAGAACAAUGAGCACAUCUAGCACCCAGAUCUUGGCUUCUACACAUCAUUCUCUAUUAAAAGAAAGAAGCAUCCCUUGGAGCAAUGGCUGAUUCCAGAGCUGUGGCAGAGAAAUUACCAGAUGAGUCUGGAACAUCUUGCUGUGACAGAA
Molecule: long non-coding RNA, 518 nt
Organism: Cercocebus atys (sooty mangabey)
Lineage: Eukaryota; Metazoa; Chordata; Mammalia; Primates; Cercopithecidae
Exons: 3
Source: RefSeq, a predicted model, not a curated record